This is a long non-coding RNA of Stegodyphus dumicola, 342 nucleotides long. NCBI's taxonomy places the organism in Eukaryota, Metazoa, Arthropoda, Arachnida, Araneae, Eresidae. The record is from RefSeq and is a predicted model, not a curated record.
AUUGUAAUAUAUAACUGAAUUAUGUUUCAAUUUUAGAGGCACCAUGUCUUAAAGAGACUUUGGCUUUUAUAUCCUGCCUAAAGGACAAUAAUAAUCUUCAAGAAAUGUGUAUUGCUGAAAGUAAAGCUGUUCAGAACUGUUAUGGUAAUCAUCUGGCUGCUCAACGGGAGGCUAAACAAAGGGCAAAAUCGGGAAAGGAUUUUAUUCCAGAAAAGAGUGUAAAGGAUAUGACGCCUGUUGAAAUGAAUAGAUUUUUGUCUCAUUUUCCUCAUAAGACUAAGUAGUUUUAUCCAUGUUAUGUAAUAUGCCUAGUUGUUAAUUAAAAUUUAAUGCAUAAUCAUA